Molecule: long non-coding RNA, 405 nt
Organism: Osmia bicornis bicornis
Lineage: Eukaryota; Metazoa; Arthropoda; Insecta; Hymenoptera; Megachilidae
Exons: 3
Source: RefSeq, a predicted model, not a curated record
UCAGGAUUCAAUCCGAGUGCUCUGGCUUCGACAGCAUCGUUUACCGGGCCAUCGAGCAUUCGCACGCCUGAGAACACGGAUGUGUUUUUAGAUACAUUACUGUGGAAAAAGUGUUAAAGGUUCCAAAAUAAUUCCAUUAUUCCGCGUGUUUCAAAGACGCUUACUCGGCUACCAAGUGACACAAAUAAGAAUCUAUAGCAACGCGAUGUCUAAAAGGAAGAAAGCUUUCCAAACACGACAAUCUUCAAAACCAGCCACCCUCUUCGUUCUUCGAACUUUACGUAAACACCUCGAAGGAUCAUAAUUCACCACACGAGGCAACCCCGACACCGCAAUAUUGGUUGAAAGCAACCGCUGCGACCUCGCCAGCGCAUCGUGUUCCAUGCUUGUUGUCACCGUUGUCCC